UCGAGAUAGGGUCGCACCUACAAAGACAGGACAUGACCCUGAACAUACAAAACAGGAUUUUUAUGCAUGAAAAUCAGAUCACUUUUGCUCUACACUUUACAGCUGGUUGUUCCUCAGAACAGUUCACCCCGCCCUUCAAGAGCUAUCUGCACCUGGCUUCAAUUCAAAUAAUAACAGUUGUUUUUCUCAUUCCCAGGUGGUCCCUCAUUUGUUCUGAUGAUGAAAUCACUGAAUAAUGUCAUGUUGCAGUGUUAAGAGUGCAGGGAUCUGUUUAGGAGCCUGUGCAAAACAACUGCCUCAUUCACUAAGAUUGUUGAAAUCAUACACCGGGAGACUGAAGCUGAAAGGAACUUAAGGCAGAAGCACACGCAGAAUGCAAGAUCUGUUCUAGCCACGUUCCUCCUUGAGCAUCAGCCAGAGCUGAAUGAAUGACUUCGUUAAAGUAGGCAAAGACUGCUCCUGGCUUCUGCCCCUUCUCCUUGCCUGAUCAUCAGAAGCCGUGCCUUAGACUCUCCCCUCAAACUCCUUGUGGGCCAACACAGGUGCGUACUGUGAGCUAAGUAGUGGAAUUUGGGUAGAACACAAGACCACCUGUAUCUGGAAAGGGUGCUUUAGGGUGGGAUAUGGGAAAAUUCGCAGGAGGAAGGAAGGGUUUCACAGUUUGGAAGCAGAAGGGCGUUCCACGGUUUAGCCUGUAAUUGGAAGCCUCGAGGGAGUGGGUGGGGCCUAGGUCGGUAUUUAAGGGUGAGCAGCGGACCCCUUUACGCAUUUGCCAUAGCCUGCACUGUCCUGAGUGUUGUUCUGAGUACACACUGGAGAGGAAGAAUUCCUACCAAAGUGUCCUCGGCAGGAUGGAAGAUCAGGCAGAUGUGGGUGGCUGCAGUAAGAUAAAGACAUCCCUGCAUCUAAAGACUGUUUGGCAGGCUAAGCAGAAGGAGGUCUUGCUCUCAGUUUUUGCCAAGACACCUUACCCGAGCUUCAGGACCAGGCAGGAACUGGCCAGGGAAUUUGGGGUUCCAGAGUCCUGCAUCUGCAUGUGGUUUCAAAACUGCAGAAAUAAGACUGGCGUGUCGAGGAAGACCUCAAAACAGACCACCGCAGGCUCCAGGCAUGAAGCCUCCCAACAGCCUCCUGAAAAGCUUGUCGCCAGGGUACAACAAGCAAGAGGCCCGCCCUCAGAAUGGAGAAGGCCUCGAACGCGGCUUAGUCCAGCGCAGAUCAGCAUGCUAAUCUUUUGAGAUCUCUCCAUCCCCAGACUAUGCCACGAGAGUGCAACUGGCACUGAGCACAGGUUUGCCUGAGGACACCCACCACAUAUGGUUCCAGAACAGAAAGGCCAGGCAGAAAGGCCGCGCUGGAGGCAGCACAGCUAAAGGUGAGGACCUGUCUGCCUCUCCUGGCCCAGAAAGGGCUCCUGGAGCAUCGUAUUGCAUUGAGCAGGAGGCUUCCCGCGACAGCUUGUUGACACCGGGUUCUGCAGGAGGCGAGUAUGGAGAAACGUUGAUGCCAACAUCCGAGCUCACCUUCUCCACAGAGGCCUAACCAGAACCCAGCAACUCCUGCCCUGCACAGCUUUUCCUGGAUCAACUGCUGAGUACAGCGGAAGUCAAGGAACAGGUACCAGCUGCUCUGGACCCAGAUGACCCAUGAGAGCAGAUCGAACCAACACUUGAGGCUCCUCUCACGGAAGAAGAAUAUCAGUCUCUGUUGUAUGAUAUUUGACCCCAUUGGUAACCCCUAGAAUUGGGACUGUAAAACUCUGUUGCUUGGACCCUCACCUGACCAUUGUCUCAGAGACUCCAGCCAGAAAUGAGCUUGGACAGAUGCUCAGGCUUGCACCUAAGAAAGGUGCAGAGCUCUAGCGAUCCUGAGUAAGUGUUGGGAAAAAGAUGGAAGGCCCUGGAGGUGCGAGGAACCUCACAAGAAGACCAACAGAAACAGGUGACCCAGACCCCUGGGCGCUUGAAGAAACUGAGCCAUCAAAUAAGGAGCAUGCUUGGUCUGGACCUAAGGACCCUGCACACACGUAGCAGGUGGGAGGUGAAUCCUUGUGCUUAAUGUGGGUUGCCCUAUGAGGGAGGUGUUGUGGAGUGGCACAGCGCCGGUGGAGAGUUGUUUCUAGCCUGGAUUUUGUUGUUUCUAACCUGGACGGUUUUUGAAGGACAGUUAUAUCAUGUUAACGGUUUUUGAAGGACAGUUAUAUCAUGUUAGCUUCAAUUAUGAUGAGGAUAAAUAUGUAAUUUGUCUGUUAUUGUACUCUGCAUCAUUAAAUUACUUUUAGGCAUUACUA
Molecule: long non-coding RNA, 2290 nt
Organism: Meriones unguiculatus (Mongolian gerbil)
Lineage: Eukaryota; Metazoa; Chordata; Mammalia; Rodentia; Muridae
Exons: 2
Source: RefSeq, a predicted model, not a curated record